Molecule: long non-coding RNA, 1073 nt
Organism: Bombyx mori (domestic silkworm)
Lineage: Eukaryota; Metazoa; Arthropoda; Insecta; Lepidoptera; Bombycidae
Exons: 7
Source: RefSeq, a predicted model, not a curated record
CGCGUCACAUUCGCAUUCCCGCUUCUUUGCGCAGAACACGCAAAUUAUUAACAUCUAAAUUAAACCACCUUUUUACCUCCGCUGUCGCUUCAUACCAGCUUUCUUUAAUAUUGUGAAGUGCUCGCCUUCCGUUCGCCGCUGAAUACCCAUCGAGAAAACCUACCGCUGGAGAGUACGAGGACUUUGAGAACAUCAGAUACACGUCUACGUAAACAUGAAUCAGUGAAACAAUACAUUCGGUUCAGUUUGGAUCGAGCAAUUAGCGCUAGACACACAAACGGAUUCAACUCGGAUCGCUUCAGUUAAUCCGUCUGAAAUAACAAACCAUAUCUGAGUGAAUGUCUCCCUAAAUGAUUAAAACGGGCCCGGACGAUCGACUAAGACAACAGUGAGAAACUGUGAACUUCUAACUCGUAAAUGAAUAUCGAGUUUCUGAAUGUUUUUCUCAAUGAAUAAGUACAAAUAAUUCCGCUGCCGGCCUCAAAACGUGAGAUUAAAAUCUAGGCUAACGGCAGAAAUAGCUUUGAAGUCAUUCGUAAACCAAGUAAUUAUUUAAUUAGAAAAAUUGUUCUUGCCUGCGGAUUCGAAUACCGGCACAGUUGCAUCGCUUGAUACAAAUGCAUAUCCAGUAGACCAAGAUGACUUCAAUAUACCAUACAAUAUAUCAUUCCAUGAAAAUCUAAUAGAUUGUAUUUUAAAUAACAGCUAUUACAAUGCACAGGUACAGAGAUGUUGUUCGUAGGGUUGCAGCAAGUGAAGUGAGUGAGGUGGCAGUAUUGCUACGUGACCGCAUGUUGCAGAUUUAGUUGAUUGAUGCAACUCAUAGAGUACGACUAAUCAACUUUAUGAUACUAGAAGAACUGUGCAGACUGUUCAACGUAUAAUUAACGAAAAUUGGCCACACUGAUUUGAAAUCGCAAACCUAAAUAUUCGAAGGGUUAAACUGAACUAAAUUCAAUUCGCCCCAUUUGGAAAUCCACCCCUAAGAGCUCUACACUUCAGAUACAAGUGUCGAUCGAAUCUCAUAACCGUGUUCCGAGGAAAAAAAAACAUGAAACAGUUAUUUCGAAAAA